Molecule: ribosomal RNA, 1304 nt
Filed under: Janthinobacterium rivuli
Lineage: Bacteria; Pseudomonadati; Pseudomonadota; Betaproteobacteria; Burkholderiales; Oxalobacteraceae
Description: bacterial SSU rRNA
Rfam family: Bacterial small subunit ribosomal RNA
Source: RNAcentral
CUGGUGGCGAGUGGCGAACGGGUGAGUAAUAUAUCGGAACGUACCCUAGAGUGGGGGAUAACGUAGCGAAAGUUACGCUAAUACCGCAUACGAUCUAAGGAUGAAAGUGGGGGAUCGCAAGACCUCAUGCUCGUGGAGCGGCCGAUAUCUGAUUAGCUAGUUGGUAGGGUAAAAGCCUACCAAGGCAUCGAUCAGUAGCUGGUCUGAGAGGACGACCAGCCACACUGGAACUGAGACACGGUCCAGACUCCUACGGGAGGCAGCAGUGGGGAAUUUUGGACAAUGGGCGAAAGCCUGAUCCAGCAAUGCCGCGUGAGUGAAGAAGGCCUUCGGGUUGUAAAGCUCUUUUGUCAGGGAAGAAACGGUGAGAGCUAAUAUCUCUUGCUAAUGACGGUACCUGAAGAAUAAGCACCGGCUAACUACGUGCCAGCAGCCGCGGUAAUACGUAGGGUGCAAGCGUUAAUCGGAAUUACUGGGCGUAAAGCGUGCGCAGGCGGUUUUGUAAGUCUGAUGUGAAAUCCCCGGGCUCAACCUGGGAAUUGCAUUGGAGACUGCAAGGCUAGAAUCUGGCAGAGGGGGGUAGAAUUCCACGUGUAGCAGUGAAAUGCGUAGAUAUGUGGAGGAACACCGAUGGCGAAGGCAGCCCCCUGGGUCAAGAUUGACGCUCAUGCACGAAAGCGUGGGGAGCAAACAGGAUUAGAUACCCUGGUAGUCCACGCCCUAAACGAUGUCUACUAGUUGUCGGGUCUUAAUUGACUUGGUAACGCAGCUAACGCGUGAAGUAGACCGCCUGGGGAGUACGGUCGCAAGAUUAAAACUCAAAGGAAUUGACGGGGACCCGCACAAGCGGUGGAUGAUGUGGAUUAAUUCGAUGCAACGCGAAAAACCUUACCUACCCUUGACAUGGCUGGAAUCCUCGAGAGAUUGAGGAGUGCUCGAAAGAGAACCAGUACACAGGUGCUGCAUGGCUGUCGUCAGCUCGUGUCGUGAGAUGUUGGGUUAAGUCCCGCAACGAGCGCAACCCUUGUCAUUAGUUGCUACGAAAGGGCACUCUAAUGAGACUGCCGGUGACAAACCGGAGGAAGGUGGGGAUGACGUCAAGUCCUCAUGGCCCUUAUGGGUAGGGCUUCACACGUCAUACAAUGGUACAUACAGAGCGCCGCCAACCCGCGAGGGGGAGCUAAUCGCAGAAAGUGUAUCGUAGUCCGGAUUGUAGUCUGCAACUCGACUGCAUGAAGUUGGAAUCGCUAGUAAUCGCGGAUCAGCAUGUCGCGGUGAAUACGUUCCCGGGUCUUGUACACACC